This 524-nucleotide ribosomal RNA is filed under the name uncultured bacterium. RNAcentral describes it as "partial 16S ribosomal RNA". It matches the Rfam family "Bacterial small subunit ribosomal RNA", at positions 28 to 523 of the family's 1533-position model. The record is from RNAcentral.
GACGAACGCUGGCGGCGUGCCUAAUACAUGCAAGUCGAGCGCAGGAAAUCAUCCGAACCCUUCGGGGGGACGUUGAUGGAAUGAGCGGCGGACGGGUGAGUAACACGUAAAGAACCUGCCCUCAGGUCUGGGAUAACCACGAGAAAUCGGGGCUAAUACCGGAUGGGUCAUCGGACCGCAUGGUCCGAGGAUGAAAGGCGCUUCGGCGUCGCCUGGGGAUGGCUUUGCGGUGCAUUAGCUAGUUGGUGGGGUAAUGGCCCACCAAGGCGACGAGGCAUAGCCGGCCUGAGAGGGUGAUCGGCCACACUGGGACUGAGACACGGCCCAGACUCCUACGGGAGGCAGCAGUAGGGAAUCUUCCACAAUGGACGAAAGUCUGAUGGAGCAACGCCGCGUGAACGAUGAAGGCCUUCGGGUCGUAAAGUUCUGUUGUAAGGGAAGAACAAGUGCCGCAGGCAAUGGCGGCACCUUGACGGUACCUUGCGAGAAAGCCACGGCUAACUACGUGCCAGCAGCCGCCGUAA